RNAcentral lists this ribosomal RNA (666 nucleotides) under uncultured bacterium. RNAcentral's name for it is "bacterial SSU rRNA". The stretch from base 1 to 547 matches the Rfam family "Bacterial small subunit ribosomal RNA", at positions 338 to 873 of the family's 1533-position model. The record is from RNAcentral.
CCUACGGGAGGCAGCAGUAAGGAAUAUUGGUCAAUGGACGAAAGUCUGAACCAGCCAUGCCGCGUGAAGGAUGAAGGCCCUCUGGGUUGUAAACUUCUUUUAUCUGGGACGAAAAAAGCUCAUUCUUGAGCACUUGACGGUACCAGAGGAAUAAGCACCGGCUAACUCCGUGCCAGCAGCCGCGGUAAUACGGGAGGGUGCAAGCGUUAUCCGGAUUCACGUUAGGGUUUAAAGGGUGCGUAGGGUGGGUCUGUAAGUCAGUGGUAGAAAUCUCCGAGCUUAACUCGGAAACUGCCAUUGAUACUAUAGGUCUUGAAUCAUCUGGAGGUAAGCGGAAUAUGUCAUGUAGCGGUGAAAUGCUUAGAUAUGACAUAGAACACCAAUUGCGAAGGCAGCUUACUACGGGUGUAUUGACACUGAGGCACGAAAGCGUGGGGAUCAAACAGGAUUAGAUACCCUGGUAGUCCACGCCCUAAACGAUGGAUACUCGACANCAGCGAUACUACUGUUGGUUGUCGUGAGACGAAGACGAGUUAAGUUACGUACCGUAACCGUACGGUAAGGUUACGACCGACGUUAAGGUUAGUAACGUUAACGAAGUUAGUAAGUUAGGUUACGGCGUUGAGACGUUCGACCGACGGACGACCGACGGAGGGGAGGUAGGAG